This 504-nucleotide ribosomal RNA is filed under the name uncultured bacterium. Its description in RNAcentral is "partial 16S ribosomal RNA". It matches the Rfam family "Bacterial small subunit ribosomal RNA", at positions 28 to 506 of the family's 1533-position model. The record is from RNAcentral.
GACGAACGCUGGCGGCGUGCCUAAUACAUGCAAGUAGAACGCACAGUUUAUACCGUAGCUUGCUACACCAUAGACUGUGAGUUGCGAACGGGUGAGUAACGCGUAGGUAACCUGCCUGGUAGCGGGGGAUAACUAUUGGAAACGAUAGCUAAUACCGCAUAAUAUUAAUUAUUGCAUGAUAAUUAAUUGAAAGGUGCAAUUUCACCACUACCAGAUGGACCUGCGUUGUAUUAGCUAGUAGGUGAGGUAACGGCUCACCUAGGCGACGAUACAUAGCCGACCUGAGAGGGUGAUCGGCCACACUGGGACUGAGACACGGCCCAGACUCCUACGGGAGGCAGCAGUAGGGAAUCUUCGGCAAUGGACGAAAGUCUGACCGAGCAACGCCGCGUGAGUGAAGAAGGUUUUCGGAUCGUAAAGCUCUGUUGUAAGAGAAGAACGGGUGUGAGAGUGGAAAGUUCACACUGUGACGGUAUCUUACCAGAAAGGGACGGCUAACUACGU